UAAGACCUCAAAUCAGGUGGGACUACCUGCUGAACUUAAGCAUAUCAAUAAGCAGAGGAAAAGAAACUAACCAGGAUUCCCCUAGUAAUGGCGAGUGAAGAGGGAAAAGCCCAAAUUUGUAAUCUGGCUCUUUUUAAAGGAGUCUGAGUUGUAAUUUUGAGAACYGUUUUCAGUGCUGGACCAUGUACAAGUCUGUUGAAAAACAGCAUCAUUGAGGGUGAUAAUCCCGUUCAUGAUAUGGACUACCAAGUGCAAUAUGAUACAGUCUCUAAGAGUCGAGUUGUUUGGGAAUGCAGCUCAAAAAGGGUGGUAAAUUCCAUCUAAGGCUAAAUAUUGAUGAGAGACCGAUAGCAAACAAGUACCGUGAGGGAAAGAUGAAAAGAACUUUGGAAAGAGAGUUAACAGUACGUGAAAUUGUUAAAAGGGAAACAAUUGAAGUUAGUCUUGUUAUUAUUGGUUCAGCUUUAAAUAGUGUAUUCCAAUUUUUAACAGAUCAACAUCAAUUCUUGGGUGUUGGAUAAGGGUCUUGUGAAAUGUAGCAGCUUUUUUGCUGUGUUAUAGUCUGAAACUUUGAUACAGUGCCUAGGAUUGAGGAAUGCAGUGAGC
This 606-nucleotide ribosomal RNA is filed under the name Tranzschelia fusca. RNAcentral describes it as "eukaryotic LSU rRNA". It matches the Rfam family "Eukaryotic large subunit ribosomal RNA", at positions 1 to 612 of the family's 3401-position model. The record is from RNAcentral. Lineage: Eukaryota; Fungi; Basidiomycota; Pucciniomycetes; Pucciniales; Raveneliaceae.